UUCGAUUAGAGUUUGAUCAUGGCUCAGAACGUACGCUGGCGGCACGCCUAACACAUGCAAGUCGAACGAAGUAGCAAUACUUAGUGGCAGACGGGUGAGUAACAUGUAGGUAUCUUCCCUUUGGCCAGGAAUAACACGAGGAAACUUGUGCUAAUACUGGAUAAGUCUUUACGGAGAAAGCUUUAUGCACCAAUGGAUGAGCCUGCACUUGAUUAGUUUGUUGGUAGGGUAAUGGCCUACCAAGACUGUGAUCAAUAGCUGAUUUGAGAGGAUGAUCAGCCACAUUGGGACUGAGACACGGCCCAAACUCCUACGGGAGGCAGCAGUGGGGAAUCUUGCACAAUGGAGGAAACUCUGAUGCAGCGAUGCCGCGUGAGUGAAGAAGGCCUUUGGGUUGUAAAGCUCUUUCGUCGGGGAAGAAAAUGACUGUACCCGAAUAAGAAGGUCCGGCUAACUUCGUGCCAGCAGCCGCGGUAAUACGAAGGGACCUAGCGUAGUUCGGAAUUACUGGGCUUAAAGAGUUCGUAGGUGGUUGAAAUAGUUGGUGGUGAAAUCCCAGAGCUUAACUCUGGAACUGCCAUCAAAACUUUUCAGCUAGAGUUUGAUAGAGGAAAGCAGAAUUUCUAGUGUAGAGGUGAAAUUCGUAGAUAUUAGAAAGAAUACCAAUUGCGAAGGCAGCUUUCUGGAUCAUUACUGACACUGAGGAACGAAAGCAUGGGUAGCGAAGAGGAUUAGAUACCCUCGUAGUCCAUGCCGUAAACGAUGUGUGUUAGACGUUGGAAAUUUAUUUUCAGUGUCGCAGCGAAAGCGAUAAACACACCGCCUGGGGAGUACGACCGCAAGGUUAAAACUCAAAUGAAUUGACGGGGACCCGCACAAGUAGUGGAGCAUGUGGUUUAAUUCGAAGAUACGCGCAGAACCUUACCAACACUUGACAUGUUCGUCGCGACUUUAAGAGAUUAAAGUUUUCGGUUCGGCCGGACGAAACACAGGUGCUGCAUGGCUGUCGUCAGCUCGUGUCGUGAGAUGUUGGGUUAAGUCCCGCAACGAGCGCAACCCUCACUUUUAGUUGCCAUCAUUUAGUUGGGCACUCUGAAAGAACUGCCAGUGAUAAGCUGGAGGAAGGUGGGGAUGACGUCAAGUCCUCAUGGCCCUUACGUGUUGGGCUACACACGUGCUACAAUGGUAUUUACAACAGGAAGCAAGACGGCGACGUUAAGCAAAUCCUUAAAAAAUACCUCAGUUCGGAUUGCACUCUGCAACUCGAGUGCAUGAAGCUGGAAUUACUAGUAAUCGUGGAUCAGCGUGCCACGGUGAAUGCGUUCCCGGGUUCUUGUACACACCGCCCGUA
RNAcentral lists this ribosomal RNA (1351 nucleotides) under uncultured bacterium. Its description in RNAcentral is "bacterial SSU rRNA". It matches the Rfam family "Bacterial small subunit ribosomal RNA". The record is from RNAcentral.